Molecule: ribosomal RNA, 899 nt
Filed under: Crepidotus fraxinicola
Lineage: Eukaryota; Fungi; Basidiomycota; Agaricomycetes; Agaricales; Crepidotaceae
Description: eukaryotic LSU rRNA
Rfam family: Eukaryotic large subunit ribosomal RNA
Source: RNAcentral
AAAAGAAACUAACAAGGAUUCCCCUAGUAACUGCGAGUGAAGCGGGAAAAGCUCAAAUUUAAAAUCUGGCAGUCUUUGAUUGUCCGAGUUGUAAUCUAGAGAAGUGUUACCCGCGUUGGACCGUGUACAAGUCUCCUGGAAUGGAGCGUCAUAGAGGGUGAGAAUCCCGUCUUUGACACGGACUCCCAAGGCUUUGUGGUGCGCUCUCAAAGAGUCGAGUUGUUUGGGAAUGCAGCUCAAAAUGGGUGGUAAAUGCCAUCUAAAGCUAAAUACAGGCGAGAGACCGAUAGCGAACAAGUACCGUGAGGGAAAGAUGAAAAGAACUUUGGAAAGAGAGUUAAACAGUACGUGAAAUUGCUGAAAGGGAAACGCUUGAAGUCAGUCGCGUUGGCUGGAAAUCAACCUUGCUCUUGUUGGGUGUACUUUCCAGUUGAUGGGUCAGCAUCAGUUUUGACCAGUGGAAAAAGGCGUAGGAAAUGUGGCUUCUUCGGAAGUGUUAUAGUCCUGCGUUGUAUACAUUGGUUGGGACUGAGGAACUCAGCACGCCGAAAGGCCGGGGCUCGCCCACGUACGUGCUUAGGAUGCUGGCAAAAUGGCUUUAAUCGACCCGUCUUGAAACACGGACCAAGGAGUCUAACAUGCCUGCGAGUGUUUGGGUGGUAAACCCGAGCGCGCAAUGAAAGUGAAAGUUGAGAUCCCUGUCGUGGGGAGCAUCGACGCCCUGACCAGACCUUUUGUGACGGAUCAGCGGUAGAGCAUGUAUGUUGGGACCCGAAAGAUGGUGAACUAUGCCUGAAUAGGGUGAAGCCAGAGGAAACUCUGGUGGAGGCUCGUAGCGAUUCUGACGUGCAAAUCGAUCGUCAAAUUUGGGUAUAGGGGCGAAAGACUAAUCGAACCAU